CCUACGGGAGGCAGCAGUGAGGAAUAUUGGUCAAUGGGCGCGAGCCUGAACCAGCCAAGUCGCGUGAAGGAUGACUGCCCUACGUGUUGUAAACUUCUUUUAUAAAGGAAUAAAGUGAGGCACGUGUGCCUUUUUGUAUGUACUUUAAGAAUAAGGAUCGGCUAACUCCGUGCCAGCAGCCGCGGUAAUACGGAGGAUCCGAGCGUUAUCCUGAUUUAUUGGGUUUAAAGGUGACGUAUGUGGGUUGUUAAAUCAGUUGUGAAAGUUUGCGGUGUAAACGUUAAAUUGCAAUUGAUACUGGCAGUCUUGAGUACAGUUGAGGUAGGCGGAAUUCGUGGUGUAGCGGUGAAAUGCUUAGAUAUCACGAAGAACUCCGAUUGCGAAGGCAGCUUACUAAACUGCCACUGACAUUGAUGCUCGAAAGUGUGGGUAUCAAACAGGAUUAGAUACCCCUGUAGUC
Molecule: ribosomal RNA, 460 nt
Filed under: uncultured bacterium
Lineage: Bacteria
Description: partial 16S ribosomal RNA
Rfam family: Bacterial small subunit ribosomal RNA
Source: RNAcentral